Molecule: ribosomal RNA, 699 nt
Filed under: Vibrio parahaemolyticus
Lineage: Bacteria; Pseudomonadati; Pseudomonadota; Gammaproteobacteria; Vibrionales; Vibrionaceae
Description: bacterial SSU rRNA
Rfam family: Bacterial small subunit ribosomal RNA
Source: RNAcentral
CACAUGCAAGUCGAGCGGAAACGAGUUAUCUGAACCUUCGGGGGACGAUAACGGCGUCGAGCGGCGGACGGGUGAGUAAUGCCUAGGAAAUUGCCCUGAUGUGGGGGAUAACCAUUGGAAACGAUGGCUAAUACCGCAUGAUGCCUACGGGCCAAAGAGGGGGACCUUCGGGCCUCUCGCGUCAGGAUAUGCCUAGGUGGGAUUAGCUAGUUGGUGAGGUAAGGGCUCACCAAGGCGACGAUCCCUAGCUGGUCUGAGAGGAUGAUCAGCCACACUGGAACUGAGACACGGUCCAGACUCCUACGGGAGGCAGCAGUGGGGAAUAUUGCACAAUGGGCGCAAGCCUGAUGCAGCCAUGCCGCGUGUGUGAAGAAGGCCUUCGGGUUGUAAAGCACUUUCAGUCGUGAGGAAGGUAGUGUAGUUAAUAGCUGCAUUAUUUGACGUUAGCGACAGAAGAAGCACCGGCUAACUCCGUGCCAGCAGCCGCGGUAAUACGGAGGGUGCGAGCGUUAAUCGGAAUUACUGGGCGUAAAGCGCAUGCAGGUGGUUUGUUAAGUCAGAUGUGAAAGCCCGGGGCUCAACCUCGGAAUUGCAUUUGAAACUGGCAGACUAGAGUACUGUAGAGGGGGGUAGAAUUUCAGGUGUAGCGGUGAAAUGCGUAGAGAUCUGAAGGAAUACCGGUGGCGAAGGCGGCCCCCU